GGACUCUGGUAGGUAAUACCAUUGUACUAAAAUAGGCAACCCUAGGAGUGGGAGAUGUCUUAGAUGUUCUAUGUAAGACAUUGAGGAACAUCUGGCAUUCCUCAUCAUAAUACGACAACUUAAAAUUUUCUGAGAAUCACUUCUGAAAUUUAAGCAUGUUGCCAUUUGUAUAUCACAUUACUCCCACUUGAUGAAAUACAGCUAAUUGC
This 209-nucleotide unclassified non-coding RNA is filed under the name Hevea brasiliensis (rubber tree). Lineage: Eukaryota; Viridiplantae; Streptophyta; Magnoliopsida; Malpighiales; Euphorbiaceae. The record is from RNAcentral.